GGGCAGCUCCGACGACUGUUGACUGGCGGGCAGCUCCGACGACUGUUGACUGGCGGGCAGCUCUGGUGACUGUUGACUGGCGGGCAGCUCUGAUGACGACUGUUGACUGGCGGGCAGCUCUGAUGACGACUGUUGACUCCUGAUGCGUGGGGCAGGUAUUGGACGUACCAGCCUGGAGACACGCACCUCCAUGCUAGUGUGUCUAGCGGGAAACACCGGACCAAAAGGGCGCACUGGCGGUCUUGAGUGCAGGGUUGGCAUCACCCCUUCCGGCUCGAUGCUCCCCUUGCCCUGGCACCUGCGGGGCGCUGGUACUGGGCGAAGUGGGCUGUGCGUCCGUAUAGGCGAGAUGGUGCGCACCUCAGCGUAACAUGACGCCCUCCACCUCGUACGCACCUCCCUGUAGUCACGAGUAGCUGGCUUACGGCUCUUCCCUGGCCUGGCCAAACUACCCGUGUGCCCCCCCAAAAUAAAAUCUUGGGGCUGCCUCUCGGGUUCCCUUAGCUCCCUUAACUUGUCCGCCCAGAAUUUUCUUUCGUCCUGCCAGGUCCAUUCUUCCAUUUUCUUCUCCUGUGGCUUCCUCCUCUUCUGCUGCUUGGUCCUUUGGUGGUGGGUAGUUCUGUAACGGCUGUCUUCUGUAAAAAUGGACCAAGGCGCAGCAGGUAUGUGAAUACUCAUCUUUAAUUAAAAUAAAGGAGUAGAGCAUCCACUUAACAAUUCAAACAAUAUAUAAGACAGGAACAGUUUUGCAGGCACACAACAUGCAGUGCAAAAACAACUACCCACAAAACCAAGUGACAAACAUACUCCUACAUAUAUGACUCCCAAUCAGGAACAACGAUCCCCAGCUGUUCCUGAUCAGGAGUCACAAGACCAACACAGAACAAUCACACACACAAGACUGCCACGUCCUGACCCCAAAACUACAACAACAGCUCCAUCUGCUGGUCAGGACGUGACACCAACGACGUUUUAGAGAAUUUGGCAGUACGUCCAACCGGCCUCACAACCGCAGAGCACGUGUAACCACGCCAGCCCAGGACCUCCACAUCUGACUUAUUCACCUGCGGGAUCGUCUGAGACCAGCCACGCGAACAGGCGAUGAAACUGAGGAGUAUUUCUGUCUGUAAUGUAGCCCUUUUGUGGAGAAAGCUCAUUCUGAUUGGUUGGGCCUGGCUCCGUAGUGGGUGGCCCAUCCAUGGCUACGCCCAGUCAUGUGAAAUCCAUAGAUUAGGGCCUAAUGAACUUCCUUAUAGGAACUGUUACUCAGUAAAAUCAUAGAAAUUGUUGCAUGUUGCGCUAAUAGUUUUGUUCAGUAUAGUUAUCAGUUAUUACCAGGGGCACAACUUUGGUUUGAUAUAUACAGAGAAAAGGGCCUGAGAAUUGAACCCUGUGGCACCCCCAUAGAGACUGCCAGAGGUCCAGACAACAGGCCCUCCGAUUUGAUACACUGAACUCUAUCUGAAAAGUAGUUGGUGAACCAGGCGAGGCAGUCAUUUGAGAAGCCAAGGCUAUUGAGUCUGUCGAUAAGAAUACGGUGAUUGACAGAGUCGAAAGCCUUGGCCAGGUCGAUGAAAACGACUGCACAGUACUGUCUUUUAUCAACCAAAACAUCCCUCAAACAAAAACUUGGCAAUCUGAACUAAACUAACCCAACUAUAAGUACAACUAACCUUAACUUGCGGAUGAGCCCCCACUUGUCACAACUUGCGGAUGAGCCCCCACUUGUCACAACUUGCGGAUGAGCCCCCACUUGUCACAACUUGCGGAUGAGCCCCCACUUGUGGAUGAGCCCCCACUUGUGGAUGAGCCCCCACUUGUCACAGGCCGGCUCAUAGCCUGUGGCAAAAAUGAGAGGACAUCGACAACUGGUAUAGGCCAAUUCAAAACGUUCUUUAUUAUAAAAAAAUAAACUAUUAACUAUAAACAAAGAAAAAGGAAUGAGGUGUGGAAAUGUCAUAAUGUAAGGUGUAUGUAAGGUGCAUGGAUGCGUGAAUAUGUAUGUGUAAACAUGACUGAGUGGAAACUAAAUACAUCUACAAAGGAACAAACAAAACCGGAUCAUACCUGGAGGAGCAGGGAGAAAGGGAGAAAGGGAGAAAGGGAGAAAGGGAGAAAGCCCAGCGAGCGAGCCAGCAGCCCAGCGAGCGAGCCAGCAGCUCAGCGAGGAGCCAGACCAGCCAGACCAGAGAGAGGUUAGUGGAGCACUUGGUUAAAUACCCUGAGCCCAGGUGGCUCCAAUCACACCAGCUGCAAUCACUAACGACCCUCCUCUGCCUGCAGGGGGAACCACCCCUGCACUGCAGAGGAGGAGCCGUGACAGUUAUGAUACCAUUUAGGACUUUGAGCGUGGCUGAGGUGCACCCAUGACCAGCUCGGAAACCAGAUUGCAUAGUGAGAAGGUACGGUGGGAUUCGAAAUGGUCGGUGAUCUGUUUAUUAACUUGGCUUUCAAAGAUUUUAGAAAGGCAGGGCAGGAUGGAUAUAGGUCUAUAACAGUUUGGGUCUAGAGUGUCUUCCCCUUUGAAGAGGGGGGUGACCACGGCAGCUUUCCAAUCUUUGGGGAUCUCAGACGAUACGAAAGAGAGGUUGAAUAGGCUAGUAAUAGGGGUUGCAACAAUUUUGGCGGAUAAUUUUAGAAAGAGAGGGUCCAGAUUGUCUAGCCCAGCUGAUUUAUAGGGAUCCAGCUUUUGCAGUUUUUUCUGGAUUUGGGUGAAGAAGCAGGGGUGGGGGUUUGGGCAAGUUGCUGCAGGGGGUGCUGAGAUGUUGGCCCGAGGUAGGGGUAGCCAGAUGGAAGCAUGGCCAGCCGUAGAAAAAUGCUUAUUGAAAUGAUCGAUUAACGUAAAUUUAUCGGUGGUGACAGUGUUUCCUAGCCUCAGUGCAGUGGGCAGCUGGGAGGAGGUGCUCUUAUUCUCCAUGGACUUUAAAGUGUCGCAAAACCUUUUGGAGUUAGAGCUACAGGAUGCAAAUUUCUGUUUGAAAAAGCUGGUCUUUGCUUUCCUGACUGACUGCAUGUAUUGGUAUCUGGCUUUCCUGAAAAGUUGCAUAUCAUGGGGACUAUUCGAUGCUAGAGCAGUCCGCCACAGGAUGUUUUUGUGCUGGUCGAGGGCAGUCAGGUCUGGAGUGAACCAAGGGCUAUAUCUGUUCUUAGUUCUACAUUUUUUGAAAGGGGCAUGCUUAUUUAAGAUGGUGAGGAAAUUACUUUUAAAGAACGACCAGGCAUCCUCGACUGACAGGAUGAGGUCAAUAUCCUUCCAGGAUACCCGGGCCAGGUCGAUUAAAAGGCCUGCUUGCACAAGUGUUUCAGGGAGCGUUUGACAAUGAUGAGGGGUGGUCGUUUGACCACGGACUCAUAGCAGAUGCAGGCAAUGAGGCAGUGAUUGCUGAGAUCCUGAUUGAAAACAGUAGAGUGGUUUGGAGGGCAAGUUGGUCAGGAUAAUAUUUAUGAGGGUGCCCAUGUUUACGGAUUUAGGGUUGUUCCUGGUGGGUUCCUUGAUACUUUGUGUGAGAUUGAGGGCAUCUAGCUUAGAUUGUAGGACUGCCGGGGUGUUAAGCCAUAUCCCAGUUUAGGUCACCUAACAGAACAAACUCUGAAGAUAGAUGGGGGUCAAUCAAUUCACAUAUGGUGUCCACGGCACAGCUGGGAGCAGAGGGAGGUCUAUAACAGGCAGCAACAGUGAGAGACUGGAGAGUUUCAUUUUUUUAAAUUAGAAGCUCAAACUGUUUGGACAUAGACCUGGAAAGUAUGACAGAACUUUGCAGGCUAUCUCUGGAAUAGAUUGCAACUCCUCCCCUUUGGCAGUUCUAUCUUGACUGAAAAUGUUGUAGUUGGGUAUGGAAAUCUCAGAAUUUUUGGUGGCCUUCCUAAGCCAGGAUUCAGACACGGCAAGGACAUCAGGGUUGGCGGAGUGUGCUAAAGCAGUGAGGAAAACAAACUUAGGGAGGAGGCUUCUGAUGUUAACAUGCAUGAAACCAAGGCUUUUUCAGUUACAGAAGUCAACAAAUGAGAGUGCCUUGGGACAUGCAGGGCCUGGAUUAACCUCCAUAUUACCCGAGGAGCAGAGGAGGAGUAGGAUGAGGGUACGGCUAAAGGCUAUCAAAACUGGUUGUCUAGUGUGUUGGGGACAGAGAAUAAAAGGAGCAGAUUUCUGGUUGUGGUAGAAUAGAUUCAGGGCAUAAUGUACAGACAGGGGUUUGGUGGGGUGAGGGUACAGUGGAGGUAAACCCAGGCACUGAGUGAUGAUAAGAGAGGUUGCAUCUCUGGACGCGCUAGUUAUGCUGGAUGCGGUCACCGCAUGUGUGGGAGGUGGACAAAGGAGGUAUCUGAGGCAUUUUGAGUGGGACUAGGGGCUCCGCAGUAAACUAAAACAAUGAUAACUAUCCUAAACAACAGUAUACAAGGCACAUUGACAUUUGAGAGAGACAUAAAACGAGGCAUAAAGCAAUCACAGGUGUUGAUUGGGAGAGCUAGCUAAGACAACGACGGGUAAGACAACAACAGCUAAUCAGCUAAGACAACAACGACAGGUAAAAUGGCCAUGAAUGGGCAGAGAGGGUCAGUUAACCUCACACACGGCCUGAGUUUGAGGCUGGGGCUGACAGAUAAACAAAAAAAUAAACAAAAUGGAGUACCGUGAUUAAUGAACAGUCCAGUAGGCAUCAGCUAUGUAGCCAAGUAAUCAUAGGGUCCAGUGAACAGCAAUAGAUGGAACAGAGAAGCCGCAGGGUAGUCGUUACUAUGCUAGCAAGCGGGAGACACAGCGUUUAAAGUUAGCAGGCCGGGGUUAGUAGAAGCGUCUGCUCCGACGUCCGGCAAAGGCCGGUUGAGGGACCAGCGGAUGGAGUUCCGUCGGCAGACCAGUCGUGGUGGUACGGCGGGGCACCGUGUCGACAAAGGAUCCAGGCCAGAUGGCGAAAGGGGUAUUGUAGUUGUAGUAAUUUAGUUUGCUAGCCGGGAGAUGCGCCUGGCUCGCGGCUAACUGGUGCUAGCUUCGGGGAAGGGGCGUUAGCCACUAUAGCCACUCGGUAGCAGCUAACUAGCAGCGAUGAUCCGAUGCAAAGGUCCAGAGCUUAUGGCAAGGAUCCGGUGGAGUAGUGGAUUCUAGCCGUGUUGGGGUAGAGUCCGGGAGGCAUCAGCUGUGUAGCCGAGUGAUCACUGAGUAGGCCGGGAGGUGGGCCUGGCUCAGAGCUAGCUUCGGGGCUGGGUCACUUGGUGGCAGCUAGCUAGCUAGCUGUGAUGAUCAGGAAUAAUGGUCCAGGGCUUACGGCAGGAAUCCGGCGUUGUAGUGGAGAAAACAGUCCGAUACUGGCAGGCUGGCAAGUAUUAUCCAGGCUUAAAAAAACGGCUGAUGUCUGUGCAGAAGGUUUCUUACGUGCUGUUCCUGAUUUUUCCGUAGUGUAUUUUUGUGUUGUUUUAGUGAUUCACCGUAGCGAAGGCGUAGACUCAGGUUUUCUGGGUCUCUAUGUUUUUGUUAAUUUCUUUCUUAGGUUUUUGCAUUCUUCAUCAAACCAUUUGUCAUUGUUUUUAAUUUUCUUAGGUUGUCUCCUUGACAUUUUUUGAUGUGAUAGGAAAGCUAAAAUGUUAAAUAUACUGUUUAGACGUUCUACAGCCAGGUUUACACCUUUACUAUUACAGUGACAUGUUUUGUCCAGGAAGUUUUCUAAAAGGGAUUGAUUUUGUUCUUGCCUAAUAGUUGUUUGGUAGAUUUCUACACUACCUUCCUUCCAUCUAUAGCAUUAAUAUUGUGCAGUUCCUUUUGGUUUGAUGCCUCAUGAUAGAGUAUUGCUCUGUUCAAAUAGACUGUGAUUUUGCUGCGAUGGGGGUUUCAGUGGGCUGACUGUGAAUGCUCUGAGAGACUCUGGGUUGAGGUCAGUGAUUAAGUAAUCUACAGUACUACUGCCAAGGAAUGAGCUGUAGAUGCACCUAGCAUAGGAGACUCCUUGAAGCCUACUAUUGACUAUGUACAGACCCAGCAUGCGACAGAGCUGCAGGAGUUGUGACCCGUUUUUGUUGGUUGUUUUGUCAUAGUUGUGUCUAUAUGGGGCAUAUUUGGGAGGGAAUGCUGUCACCUCCAGGUAGGUAUUUGUCCCCGUGUGCUGAGAGUGUCAGGUUCUUGUCCAGUUCUGGCAUUUAGGUCACCACAGACUAGUACAUCUCCCUGGGCCUGGAAAUGGUUGAUUUCCCCGUCUAGGAUGUUGUCAUUGUUAAAGUAUGGGGAUUCUAUUGGGGGGAUAUAGGUAGCACACAUGAGGACAUUUUUCUCUGUUCCUUAUUAAUUUCGAGACGGAAGUAAAAUGUUCCUGUUUGGACUAAUUUAAUAGUGGGUUAGGUUUGCUCUAUACCACAUUAGCAUACCCCCUGAGUCUCUUCCCUGUUUCACACCUGGUAGUUUGGUGGAUGGGACUGCCAGCUCUUUGUAACCUAGAGGGCAACCAGUGGGUCCGUCUCCUCUAUACCAUGUUUCUUGUAGAGUGAGAAUGUCUGUAUUGUCCUAAUGUGUCCUCCUUGUCCUGAUUGCAGGUUUAUGGGACAUAAUCACAGUGCACCAGUCCCCUCCAGUCCUCUCUGUCCAGCCUGGAGACACUGUGCGAAUUCUCUGUAGAGCCUCACAAGACAUUGAUAACGAUAUGACACUUUACCAGUUCAAACCUGUGCAGGCACCCAGAGGCCUCAUUCAUGAUAGUAACCAGAAGUAUCCUUACACAUCUAGUCGGUUCAGUGGCUUAUUGAAUGGAGCUCUCACCACCUUCACUAUCACAGAGGUCCAGGUUAAGGAUGAAGCUGAGUAAUACUGCCAACAAAGUGAACAGCUUCCAUUCACACAGUGAAAUAUGGCUGUACAAAAACCUCUGUUAGCUUCUCUCACUUCAGUCCGUUUGUGCGAGUGCCCGGCCAAGCAUCCGAGAACUGUCAGGGUUCAAUGACCUCUUUCCAUCAUAGCUGUAGCUGUACUGUAAGCAUAUCACAAUCAUAAAUAACUGGCAAUAGGGUGGCAUUAGCCAGUCAAGGCAACACAAACAUGGGAAUGGAACUGAACUGGCAGCUGGAACGCUGCUGGCCUCUGAUCCCAUGUACCAUCUCCUGCCCUUGUGCACUUGGACAAGGCACUCAACCCCCCACAAUUGCUCUUCGUCAAGGGCACUGCACUACAGCUCAUCCUGUGCCUCUCAAUGUGUGUGUGUGUGUGUGUGUGUGUGUGUGUGUGUGUGUGUGUGUGUGUGUGUGUGUGUGUGUGUGUGUGUGUGUGUGUGUGUGUGUACACUCUUAGAAAAAAAGGUGCUAUCUAGAACCUAAAAGGGUUCUUUGGCUGUCCCCAUAGGAGAAUCCUUUAAAGAACACGUUUUAUUUCCUGGUAGAACCUAACAGAGGUUUUUUACAUGGAACCCAAAAGGGUUCUACCUAGAACCAAAAAGUGUUCUCCUAUGGGAACAGCUGAAGAACCCUUUUGGAACCCUUUUUCUACGAGUGCAUAUCUGGGGUGUUGGGAAAGGCAGGAGACAAAUUUCCACUCUAACCAAUGGACAAUAAAGUAUCUAUUCUAUAGGUCUACAAUAACAGAAUAAACUACUUCAGACUCGGCCAACAGUGUUAUUUGAGCAGUGAUCACCAUGAUGUCAACAUUUCAGCUCCUCUUUCUUUGCCCUAUGGACAAAAAGUACAUAUACAAGUUACAAAACUUAAAGCGGCAAUCAGAAGUAGAAACAAUAGUAAAGUGGUUGCCCCACCCCUGGUUCUGUAAUAAGCUGAGGGAUGGGUCUGGAAAAAUAUAACCACUGAAAUUCAUAGACAGCAUUAUUUUUAACCAUGUUCUGAGGCUAUAUAGUGUUUGUUUCCAUUUUCUUUGUUUACAAACAUUGGAGUAAAACAAGCUUAUAUAUUUUUAUUUAUUUUUUAUUUAUUUAUUAUUAUAUAUAUAUAUAUAUAUAUAUAUAUAUUUCUUACCCUUUUUUCGCCCCAAUUUCAUGGUAGUUACAGUCUUGUCCCAUCGCUGCAACUCCCGUACGGACUCGGGAGAGGUGAAGGGACAGAGCCGUGCGUCCUCCGAAACACAACCCAGCCAAGCCGCAAUGCUUCUUGACACAAUGCCCGCUUAACCCGGAAGCCAGUUGCACCAUGAUGUGUUGCAGGAAACACCGUACACCUGGGGACCUUGUCAGCGUGGAUUGCGCCCGGCCCGCCACAGGAGUCGCUAGUGCUCGAUGGGACAAGAACUUCCCUGUCGGCCAAACCCUCCCCUAACCCGGACGACGCUGGGCCAAUUGUGCGCCGCCCCAUGGGUCUCCCGGUCGCGGCCGUCUGCGACAGAGCCUGGAUCUCUAGUGGCACAGCUAGCACUGCGAUGCAGUGCCUUAGACUACUGCACCACUCGGGAGGCCUUAUAUUUUGGUGGGGAACGACAGUUGAACUAAGUGCAUGAGGUUCAUGGGGCAUCAUCACAGUGGACCAGUCCCCUCCGGUCCUCUCUGUCCAGCCUGGAGACACAAGACAUUGGCAAUGAUAUGGAGGUGCACCAGUUUAAACCUGGACAGGCACCCAAAACUCUUUUUAUGAUGGUAACCAGAGGUAUUUGUGCACACCCGGUCGGUUCAGUGGCCUCUAUACUGGAGCUCUCACCACCUUCACUAUCAGUUGAGUACAAGCAGAGGACGAAGCUUAGUAUUACUGACCAACACAGUGAAACAUUUCCAUCCACACAGUGAAAUACGGCUGUGCAUAAACCUCAGAUCACUGUUCUCAUAUGAGAAUGUUGCCAAGCUCCAGUGCACAGUUUAGCUUCAUUGAAAAACUGUUCCAUGCUUGUAACCUCGGUCUACACUAGACUCUACAUUCGGUCAAAACAGCCUCUCUCGUAUGUGCUAGAGCUCAUAUGGACAUUUGGGAUCUACAUUUUCUUAUUGAAAACAUGUUGUUUCUGGAUAUUUUGCUUCCAUCAAUAAUGACAUAUCUACUGUACAUGGACAACCUCUCAGACUCUUUAUGCAGGAGCUAUAAAGUCCCAAGUUACCUGGGACAUGAUACAGCUGAUCCUGGAAUAAAGGCUGUUAUGAUUUUUUAUUUAUUUACAUUGAUGGAUAUUGAAUUGAGAAAUGGGACCAGGCUAGGAAUCACUGUGAUGACAUGAUCAGUAUGGGAUGAUUCCUGGUGCUAAAUCUUUCAUCUGUAUUGAGCUAUUUGUGUACACAAAGAUACAUCCACUGGAUUGAUCAGUAAGGUCAUGCCACAGCCGCCACUCAGGUCAGUGUGUUUGCCCCAACUGGUAAGGACCUGACCAGAACUGGUGGUCAGACCACGCUGCUGUGUCUGAUCAAGUCACUGUGAGCUGGACAAUGGAUGGGAAGGGUGUCUCCGGAGAUCAACAGGACAGCCAGUCUAUACGUAUUCCUGCUAGGACUUACAGCACAAGCAGCACACUUGCUUUACCCCACUCUUACCUGGGAGUCUGGAGAGAAGUACAUCUGCCAGGUCCAGCAUUGAGCCAGAGGGAACCCAUCACUGGAACUCUUCUGAGGAACCAGUGUGUGAUGGAGAAGUUGCAUAUCUAUCUCUGUACUUUCAUGAAGUAUAGACAUACAGCUGGUGUUUUCCCUUCUGCUUUUCAAUAGAAUGGUUCUCUCACUGUAGCUAUAAGUGCAUUUGAUUACUUUGACUACAACUAACAAUGUUUCACUUUAGAAGGCUAUUUGAGAAGUGUAAUUACUUUUUCAUCUGAAAAUGACAUUUAUUAAGAGGCAUUUCUCUAUUUUCACUUACAUUCAAUUAAAACGUUAACACAUGAAUGAAUCAUCACAAUCUAUGAUGAAAUUAAAUGGUGUACAAUUGUUAGACAGUAUCGUUUUUGCUUGACAAUAAGCAUUUCAUUUAAAAAAAAGAAAAAUGCCUGAGCGUGACUUUUUGAUAGGUUGUUUGAUUAGCUUAUCGAGACAAGUGGGAGUGCUGGCAUGAAACAGGUUCUACUGCAUUGCUCAUGAUAGCGACACAUACCACAAAGCCACAACACCAUACCUCAUUCUCCUGUUGGAUGCUCUGUCAAAAAAGAUCGGUCAUAGAAAAUAUAUAAGCCACUGGCAUCUGCAAUCCAAUGUUGACAAAGUGCCACUUACCCAUCCCCAACGCUCCUAAAACCAUCCCUGCUGUUGUCCCUAUCGUACCUGCCCAUGUGGACCACCCCACUGCCACUGAUGCUGUGGCCCCAACAGACACCCCUGCUGCCCCUACCACCCCUAACAGUGCCCCUGAGGUCCCUCCCGCUCCCAGCACUACAGGGGAAGAGACCCUCACUACUAUCAGAAUGACCACUGCCAACCCAGCUGAUCCUACUAUAACCUUCCCCUUAUCUUCCCCCUUGCCCAAAGGGCCUCCUAUGGUGGCCCCUAAGCCUAGCUGACAUAGCUUUGACACAAAAAAUCCUGCGCCCAAGGCCUCUAGAGAAGAUCUGUGGUUCAUCUGGGUGCUAAUGUUCCCUCUUGAUAUAUCGUGACCAACCCUGCGCAUUUUGAUAGAUUCCGACACCACUUCCUGAUGUGCGUGCACAGUGAGCACCGCUAUGACAAACGUGGCAAACAUUCCCAUGCACCCUGCAAACAUCCAGAAGUAAAAAUUUGAUGAUUUCAUGAACAUGAAGGACAUGAACAGGACCAAAGCUAAAAGGACCACAAACACAAACCGGUAGUCCCCGAAUCCAAACACCCCAAAUCCUGCUGUGACCAUGGCGGUCAUAGUCAUGGGUAUCCCUGAAAACGCCAGGAAAUCCAUGUAUUUCACCACCACUUUGUUGAUCUGCUCUUGAAUGGUCCUUUGCUUAUUUACCUCCUCCAUCCAUUCUCUCCUCUUUCUCUCCAUCUCAUUUCUCUCUCUGUGCUGUGCCUCCCAGUUUGCUCUAUGCUCCAGGCCCUCUGUCCUCUGUCCUUCCUUGUCCAAUGUGACAAUUCUCUGCUCAAUCUCCACUGUCACUCUGUCUCUCUUCUUCACCUCCCUCGCCUCCAUCUCUCUCAGCUCUCUCUCCCUGGCCUCCAGAGAGCUCUGUCCCAGGCGGACACAGGACUCUCCUUGUCUCCAUAUGAACUUGAGAAGGAAGUGCAAAGCAGGUUUGAGCAGGGUGAAUAUGCUCAGUGCCCAGAGAAGUCCCACCAUCCCUGAGCCCACCACAACUGCCUCAAUGACGACUCCAAGUGUUGCUCCACUGGCUGUGGUCCCGAAAGCACCAGCCAGUCCAACUGCGAUCCACACAACCACAGAUUCUGCCUGGGAUGCUCCACCACCACUGCUCCUGGCACCCAGCAAUACGGAAGCCAUAGCCGCUGCGAAUAUGACCCCAGCCACCACUGAAGUCAUGACUGUGGUUAGUGCCGUUGCUCCCAGGAGGGUACCCAGUCCCAAGGGCCCCACAGUCUGGACUCCGUCAGACACAGGCUUAAGCAGGGCCCCUGAGGUCAUCACUGACAUAGCCUCAUUCACUGGCUCCUCAGUGGCCCCCAGCACACAGCCUCCCACCACUCCCAGGACAAAGCCCAGAACCGCUUCCAACAUGGGGCUCCUGGCCUCUGAAACAAAGCAGGAAAAGGGAGGGUCACUGACAAAAACACUGGAGGUGGUAUAACAGCUUUGUGGUAUAGUUUCUAUAUAUUGCCUGAAGAUGUGUAAUAAGUAAAUAUUGAUGAAAAAGUAAG
RNAcentral lists this long non-coding RNA (11666 nucleotides) under Salmo salar (Atlantic salmon). RNAcentral describes it as "lncRNA (ENSSSAG00000102157.1)". The record is from RNAcentral. Lineage: Eukaryota; Metazoa; Chordata; Actinopteri; Salmoniformes; Salmonidae.